Molecule: ribosomal RNA, 1570 nt
Filed under: Pseudochirops cupreus (coppery ringtail possum)
Lineage: Eukaryota; Metazoa; Chordata; Mammalia; Diprotodontia; Pseudocheiridae
Description: 16S ribosomal RNA
Rfam family: Bacterial large subunit ribosomal RNA
Source: RNAcentral
GCUAACCAUUAGCUCCACCAUCAAACAACUCAAUUAUUAAAUACUAAUUCUCAAAACAUUUAUUCAUCCCAGUAUAGGAGAUAGAAAAGAACCAUGGACGCAAUAAUGCAAGUACCGUAAGGGAAAUCUGAAAGACCAAUUAUAGCACCUAAAAGCAAAGACUUAUCCUUGUACCUUUCGCAUAAUGAUUUAGCCAGCAUAACCGAGCAAAACGAAUUAAGCCCGACUUCCCGAAAUCAAGUGAGCUACUAUAAAACAGCUAUUCAGAGCCAACUCUUCUAUGUAGCAAAAUAGUGAGAAGAUUUUAUAGUAGAAGUGAAAAGCCUAUCGAACUUGAAGAUAGCUGGUUGUCCAAAACACGAAUUUUAGUUCAACUUUAAAUCUAACUAAUGCAUACAUCCAAAGCAUAACUUAAAUUUAAAAGCUAAUCAAAGGGGGUACAUCCCUUUUGAUCAAGUAGACAAACUUCCCUAGAGGAUACUGACUCACAAAAAUACAUCGUAGGCCCAAAAGCAGCCACCAAUUAAGAAAGCGUUAAAGCUCAAACCCACAAUCACCCCCUGAUUUCUAACAUAAUACCAAAUUCCCUAAACCUACAUUGGACGACUCUAUAAAUCUAUAGAAGACAUUCUGCUAAAAUCAGUAACAAGAAAUAUUUCUCCCAGCACAAGCCUACAUUAGCAACGGAACAAUCCACUAACAAUUAACAAUAACAAUAACUACAAGCUAUUCUACAAGUAAAUUAAUUUAAUCAAUUGUUAAUCCAACACAGGAGUGCACAAGGGAAAGAUUAAAAAGAAUAAAAGGAACUCAGCAAGCACAAACCUCGCCUGUUUACCAAAAACAUCACCUCUAGAAUCCUAAAUAUUAGAGGCAACGCCUGCCCAGUGAAUUCAACUUUAACGGCCGCGGUAUCCUGACCGUGCAAAGGUAGCAUAAUCACUUGUCUCUUAAAUAGAGACUUGUAUGAAUGGCAUCACGAAGGUUUAACUGUCUCUUAUCCUUAAUCAGUGAAAUUGACCUUCCCGUGCAGAGGCGGGAAUAUUAUUACAAGACGAGAAGACCCUGUGGAGCUUAAGACAAGUCAUCUAUGAAUACUCCCACUAAACCUAAAGGAACAAAAUCAUAUUCAUCCAGAUUACAAAUCUUUGGUUGGGGUGACCUCGGAGCACAAAAUAACCUCCGAACGAUUAAACCCAGAUUCACUAAUCUAAGUGUAAAAACCAAUAAUUGACCCAAGUAUUGAUCAACGGACCAAGUUACCCCAGGGAUAACAGCGCAAUCCUAUUAAAGAGCCCAUAUCGACAAUUAGGGUUUACGACCUCGAUGUUGGAUCAGGACAUCCAAAUGGUGCAACCGCUAUUAAUGGUUCGUUUGUUCAACGAUUAAAGUCCUACGUGAUCUGAGUUCAGACCGGAGAAAUCCAGGUCGGUUUCUAUCUGUAUAUUAACUUCUCCUAGUACGAAAGGACAAGAGAAGUAAGGCCCACAUUAUAAAUGAGCCUUAAAACAAGAUAUGAAUAAAUCUUAAUAUCUUACAACCAUACCUUUACACUCUAGAAAUAGAGCCA